This 468-nucleotide ribosomal RNA is filed under the name uncultured bacterium. RNAcentral's name for it is "partial 16S ribosomal RNA". It matches the Rfam family "Bacterial small subunit ribosomal RNA", at positions 28 to 507 of the family's 1533-position model. The record is from RNAcentral.
GACGAACGCUGGCGGCGUGCUUAACACAUGCAAGUCGAACGGAAAGGCCCUGCUUUUGUGGGGUGCUCGAGUGGCGAACGGGUGAGUAACACGUGAGUAACCUGCCCUUGACUUUGGGAUAACUUCAGGAAACUGGGGCUAAUACCGGAUAGGAGCUCCUGCUGCAUGGUGGGGGUUGGAAAGUUUCGGCGGUUGGGGAUGGACUCGCGGCUUAUCAGCUUGUUGGUGGGGUAGUGGCUUACCAAGGCUUUGACGGGUAGCCGGCCUGAGAGGGUGACCGGCCACAAUGGGACUGCGAGACGGCGCAGACUCCUACGGGAGGCAGUAGUGGGGAAUAUUGCACAAUGGGGGGAAGCCUGAUGCAGCAACGCCGCGUGCGGGAUGACGGCCUUCGGGUUGUAAACCGCUUUCGCCUGUGACGAAGCGUGAGUGACGGUAAUGGAUAAAGAAGCACCGGCUAACUACGUG